AGGUGUGUGUGGUAGUGUGAUUUGACGACUGAAGCUACUUAGUUGGGUCAACUAUUAGAAGAAGCGGGGUAGACGUCUGGAUUAAGGCAGUUAGAAGCUAGGCGAGUUUCCUCAACACCAGCUUAAGCAGUUCUACAGAAUUCUAGUAGGUCAAGGGCCGGCAGGCAGAUAGAACCUGACCCUAGAAAUGGAGAGCUGGACCAGUAGCCCUGUGCAGGGGUUAUAUCAGCGCG
Molecule: long non-coding RNA, 233 nt
Organism: Stegastes partitus (bicolor damselfish)
Lineage: Eukaryota; Metazoa; Chordata; Actinopteri; Pomacentridae
Exons: 3
Source: RefSeq, a predicted model, not a curated record